UUUAUGUUUAAGAAACUAAUAUUUUAACAAUUUUCUGUUUCGUUUGAGGAUGAACGGGAUCUAUCAAUUCCUUUUUUUUUUGGUGGCAACUAACUGGUUUACGGGAUGCAAUUCUAGAGCUGGAAGAUUUCUUUUGGCGGAUAAGGUUUUCCUGUCCGUCCGUAUUAGGGUCCGUUCGGGUGAACUAGGUUUUUCUUUCUCUUUUUUUUUUUUUUUAUAAAUAUAUAUGCCGAAGGCCACCUACAAUCUUAAACUCACGCGUUACUUUAUCUGAGGCCUGAGCUCAACCCUGUUCGCGCACGUUUGGAAACAAAAAAACCCCACAAACGGACUGAAAUCGAUUUGAUGAACGAUAGGUAAGCCUAGUAAUCGUAUAUAUAUCUAUUUAUUUUAACCUUUCUUCCUUUUUUUUUAUAGGAAAUUAUUUAAAAAGAACACUCGUCCGGUUCGUCUUGUCGUCCGGGUGCAAACUUAUAAAAGGUCGGAAAACCAAAAAUCUGAUACCGGAGCACCCCAGGCGUGAUGGUGCUGGAAAGCAGCUUCUCCCUCGUUGGAUGGAGUCGUGUUGCAGUGGCUUUUCAGGUUUGUUUGAUUGGUUUUAUUUUCUAUUUUAUAUUUGUAUAUUUAGUUUUAAGUUUAGCUUUAAGUUUAAAUUUAAGUUUAAAUUUAAGUUUAAAAUUCUUUUUUUUUUCUUUUAAUAAAAUUUAUUUAAUUGGUUAUAAAAAAAAUCAAAAA
Calliphora vicina (urban bluebottle blowfly) is the source of this 735-nucleotide long non-coding RNA. RefSeq lists it as uncharacterized. NCBI's taxonomy places the organism in Eukaryota, Metazoa, Arthropoda, Insecta, Diptera, Calliphoridae. The transcript is spliced from 2 exons. The record is from RefSeq and is a predicted model, not a curated record.